Molecule: unclassified non-coding RNA, 253 nt
Filed under: uncultured bacterium
Lineage: Bacteria
Description: contains 16S-23S intergenic spacer region
Rfam family: Bacterial small subunit ribosomal RNA
Source: RNAcentral
UACGUAGGUGGCAAGCGUUGUCCGGAUUCACUGGGCGUAAAGGGCAGGCAGGCGGAAGGUUAAGUAGGAAGUGAAAGGUUGGAGCUCAACUCCAACACUGCUUCCUAUACUGGCUUUCUUGAGUCCCGGAGGGGAAAGCGGAACGACACGUGUAGCGGUGAAAUGCGUUGAUAUGUGUCGGAACACCAAUGGCGAGGGCAGCUUUCUGGACGGGAACUGACGCUCAUCUGCGAAAGCCGAGGUAGCGAACAGG